GCGCGAUACAGGGUGACAGCCCCGUACACAAAAGCGCAUGUGCUGUGAGCUCGAUGAGUAGGGCGGGACACGUGGUAUCCUGUCUGAAUAUGGGGGGACCAUCCUCCAAGGCUAAAUACUCCUGACUGACCGAUAGUGAACCAGUACCGUGAGGGAAAGGCGAAAAGAACCCCGGCGAGGGGAGUGAAAAAGAACCUGAAACCGUGUACGUACAAGCAGUGGGAGCACAGGUUUACCUGUGUGACUGCGUACCUUUUGUAUAAUGGGUCAGCGACUUAUAUUCUGUAGCAAGGUUAACCGAAUAGGGGAGCCGGAGGGAAACCGAGUCUUAAUUGGGCGUUAAGUUGCAGGGUAUAGACCCGAAACCCGGUGAUCUAGCCAUGGGCAGGUUGAAGGUUGGGUAACACUAACUGGAGGACCGAACCGACUAAUGUUGAAAAAUUAGCGGAUGACCUGUGGCUGGGGGUGAAAGGCCAAUCAAACCGGGAGAUAGCUGGUUCUCCCCGAAAGCUAUUUAGGUAGCGCCUCGUGAAUUCAUCUCCGGGGGUAGAGCACUGUUUCGGCUAGGGGGCCAUCCCGGCUUACCAACCCGAUGCAAACUGCGAAUACCGGAGAAUGUUAUCACGGGAGACACACGGCGGGUGCUAACGUCCGUCGUGAAGAGGGAAACAACCCAGACCGCCAGCUAAGGUCCCAAAGUCAUGGUUAAGUGGGAAACGAUGUGGGAAGGCCCAGACAGCCAGGAUGUUGGCUUAGAAGCAGCCAUCAUUUAAAGAAAGCGUAAUAGCUCACUGGUCGAGUCGGCCUGCGCGGAAGAUGUAACGGGGCUAAACCAUGCACCGAAGCUGCGGCAGCGAACGUAUCACCCAAGACAACUUUACGGAGUUGACGAUUGACGGAGCGAAGCGACGUCAAAGCGUUCAUUAAAGUCGAGUUGGCUUAGGGAUACGUUCGUUGGGUAGGGGAGCGUUCUGUAAGCCUGUGAAGGUGUGUCGUGAGGCAUGCUGGAGGUAUCAGAAGUGCGAAUGCUGACAUAAGUAACGAUAAAGCGGGUGAAAAGCCCGCUCGCCGGAAGACCAAGGGUUCCUGUCCAACGUUAAUCGGGGCAGGGUGAGUCGACCCCUAAGGCGAGGCCGAAAGGCGUAGUCGAUGGGAAACGGGUUAAUAUUCCCGUACUUGGUGUUACUGCGAAGGGGGGACGGAGAAGGCUAUGUUGGCCGGGCGACGGUUGUCCCGGUUUAAGCGUGUAGGUGUGUGUUCCAGGUAAAUCCGGUUCACUUUAACACUGAGGCGUGACGACGAGGCACUACGGUGCUGA
RNAcentral lists this ribosomal RNA (1318 nucleotides) under Salmonella enterica subsp. enterica. Its description in RNAcentral is "partial 23S ribosomal RNA". It matches the Rfam family "Bacterial large subunit ribosomal RNA", at positions 352 to 1588 of the family's 2925-position model. The record is from RNAcentral. Lineage: Bacteria; Pseudomonadati; Pseudomonadota; Gammaproteobacteria; Enterobacterales; Enterobacteriaceae.